This 697-nucleotide ribosomal RNA is filed under the name uncultured bacterium. Its description in RNAcentral is "bacterial SSU rRNA". It matches the Rfam family "Bacterial small subunit ribosomal RNA", at positions 811 to 1500 of the family's 1533-position model. The record is from RNAcentral.
GGGCACUAGGUGUGGGUCCUUAUCAACGGGAUCCGUGCCGUCGCUAACGCAUUAAGUGCCCCGCCUGGGGAGUACGGCCGCAAGGCUAAAACUCAAAGGAAUUGAACGGGGGCCCGCACAAGCAGCGGAGCAUGUUGCUUAAUUCGAUGCAACGCGAAGAACCUUACCUGGGUUUGACAUGGUGGGAAAAGCCGUAGAGAUACGGUGUCCUUCGGGGCCCAUCACAGGUGGUGCAUGGCUGUCGUCAGCUCGUGUCGUGAGAUGUUGGGUUAAGUCCCGCAACGAGCGCAACCCUUGUCCUAUGUUGCCAGCGGGUAAUGCCCGGGGACUCGUAGGAGACUGCCGGGGUCAACUCGGAGGAAGGUGGGGACGACGUCAAGUCAUCAUGCCCCUUAUGUNCCAGGGCUGCAAACAUGCUGCAAUGGCCGGUACAAAGGGCUGCUAGCCCGCCGAGGGUGAGCGAAUCCCAUAAAGCCGGUCUCAGUUCGGAUUGGAGUCUGCAACUCGACUCCAUGAAGCCGGAGUUGCUAGUAAUCCCGGAUCAGCACUGCCGGGGUGAAUACGUUCCCGGGCCUUGUACACACCGCCCGUCACACCACGAAAGUCGGCAACACCCGAAGCCGGUGGCCCAACCCUCCUGGGAGGGAGCCGUCGAAGGUGGGGUCGGUGAUUGGGGUGAAGUCGUAANCAAGGUACC